UUCUGACAGUAAUCUCAUGAGGUAGGUAUUAUUACUUACCCCACUUAGUAGCUGGGUGAAUGGAGUCACAUAGAGGUUAACCCAAAGUCACAAAGCUAGUAAUUGGUAAACUUGGCAUUCAAGUCCAGGUGGCCUGGCCUCAGUACAUUGUAACCAGCGGCUCUUCUGCCAUCUUGCUCAUAGACACCUACCAUCUGGGACACAGGCUCCAUUUCAGAUUUCCACACAGGUGUGUGCUCUUUGGAGAUUUUGGGGAGGAGACUAGGCAUGUCUUCAGGUAUCUUCAGGUAAAUGGAGUUUUGACCUUGUCUGAGGACCUCCAGACCCAGCCCUGUUCCCCACCUUGUCCUCUGUGAGUACUCCAUGCUGCCCACGGGAGAUUGUGUUGAUUUCUUGGUACUUUCCUAUUCUAGCUCUCGCUGCUCACUUUCAUUUCAGGACCAGGUGUCCUCCCUGGAGGCUUUGAGGUGGGUCCAAUUGAGAAGUCCCUUGGGCUUCCUGGGGGCUGGAGGGAAGGUCUCUGCAUGAAAGGGAGGGCCAGGAGGCCCAGCAAGCCUUGUAGCCCCAGGCGCCUGCGUGACACCUUACCGUGGCUCCUGGCUGAGUGGAUAUGGGGCUGGAUGUGGGCUCUGAUCUGGGGCCAGUCGUGUGCAGAGGUGGGGGAGAAAGUCAUGGUUGGGGAAAGUUCACAUGAGCUGGAGACUUUGAGAUCCUCUCAUUCAGCCUCCACAUUUUAUAACUGAGAAACUGAGUCUUCGAGGUGGGAAAGGAUGUGCCCAGGUCACCCUGCAGUCCUCAGCCUGGUGUCUCAACUAUGAGCCCAGAUUUCAGCAUGUCAUGAAGGAGGAUGGUGGGGGAUGGGGACAGACAAAAGCUUCCUAAGAUAUUCAGGACAACUAAAGACAGGGACAUCCAAAGUCACAGUGCUUCCUUUGUGUGCUGAGAAAACUUUAACGCAGACCAGAGACCUAUUGGAAAGAACCGUGACGGUGCUCGGUGCUCGGUGCUCGGUGAAUGAAGAACUCACCCUCUGCCUAGAGCCCCAGAAGCCUCUGGCUCAGGAGGGCUGAGGAUUCCUGAACGCCUUUGCAUUUCAGUGACCAACUACCCUGGGCAUGGCUGCAUGUGACCCCACCUGCCUCCUGGCAGUCCUCUCUGUGGGCAAACGUUGACAUCGGCCCUUCCCGGGGCCAGCCUUUGUCCUUCACCCCUUACCUGGUGUUUCUCACUGUACUCUCCCAGCAGCCAGCCUGGCAGCACUAUCAUCCCCUUCACCUUCACCUUCCUCCUCCUCAUCCUCAUUUAUCCAUUAGGAUAUUGAGGUUCAAAGGGAUUAAGGAGCUCACCUGAGGCCCGGGGUUAGCUGUGAGCCUGGUCCUUGACCCAAGGCUCAGCCCUUGUCCAGCUGCUUGCCUCGGAUUCAGAGAGUCUCACCCUCAGUGGCUCUAAAGACUGGAAGGAGGGAACCUAUCUUAGGGUCCAGAUCAUCUACCAGCACACACCUGCGGGGCUGGGGCACACAUGUACUCCUGGUCAUGCAUGCGUCCUGGCUUUCCUGGCCUUCAAGAAGCUGUGGCUGCUGUCAACUCCUCAGCUCAACCUCCCCACCUUCCUUUCUGUCCUCUCUUUUGAUUAAAGCACAUUUUUACCUUAAUAUUCCCAAGAAAAGAUUAGGGUGUUUUUUUUGUUUCGGUGGUACUGGGGAUUGAGCCCAGGGAUACUCUAUCAUCU
This 1731-nucleotide long non-coding RNA is filed under the name Marmota monax (woodchuck). The record is from RNAcentral. Lineage: Eukaryota; Metazoa; Chordata; Mammalia; Rodentia; Sciuridae.